AACCUACACUUCCAAAAGUUUUUUUUUUUUUUCUUUGAGAGAAAGGUAACAUCAUAUCUGCUUUAUUUCUUUUUCAAAAAAUUAAAUAUAAAGCAACUAGCUUUCGAGCUCAGAACCUUAGGUACCAACUAUUACACUCUUUACUAUUUAUACUAGGGACGGUCCGUAACCUGCAUUUUAGAGUUAACCUCAUAGAAUAGAGUUCACGCACUACUACAAAGAUUCCAUACUAACUAAUAGUAUCACUUUACCGACCGUCCCUAGCACUAGCGCAAGUGGUAAAGGGUUUAGUGGUUGGUAUCCGAGAUCUCAAGUUCGAAUCUUAGUUGAUUCACAUUUCAAGUUAAGUUUAUUUCUGAAAAGAAAUAAACAAAGCGUGUAGCAUGCUAUCUAUUUCUCAAAAAAAAAAAAAAAAAAAAAAAAAAAAAAAAACCACACUAAUAGUAUCACUUUUGCACUUUUUUUCCAUCCUUCUAACAAGCUAAACUCACCAUCCAACUUUUUAGAAAUCAAAACAUUCUUUGGGAUACCUGUUGUCCAAGAUUCAUUCUCUUAGGAAGUUGUGGGAUCGUUUUCGCUUUAACUAUUUUUCUUUUUUUUUCUCUUGAGAUCUGGUUGCCUCAUGCAGCUGAGUUCAUUCUUUAAAUGAAUGAAACGGUAGCGUGCUAUUUUUUUUUUUUU
Molecule: long non-coding RNA, 681 nt
Filed under: Ananas comosus (pineapple)
Lineage: Eukaryota; Viridiplantae; Streptophyta; Magnoliopsida; Poales; Bromeliaceae
Description: long non-coding RNA (ACOM_LNC029879)
Source: RNAcentral